Molecule: ribosomal RNA, 253 nt
Filed under: uncultured bacterium
Lineage: Bacteria
Description: partial 16S ribosomal RNA
Rfam family: Bacterial small subunit ribosomal RNA
Source: RNAcentral
UACGUAGGGACCAAGCGUUGUCCGGAUUUAUUGGGCGUAAAGGGCGCGUAGGCGGGCCAGCAAGUCAGGGGUGAAAGCCCACGGCUCAACCGUGGAAGUGCCUCUGAUACUGUUGGCCUCGAGGGAGGUAGGGGCGUGCGGAACUUCCGGUGGAGCGGUGAAAUGCGUAGAUAUCGGAAGGAACAUCGGUGGCGAAAGCGGCGCGCUGGACCUCUACUGACGCUGAGGCGCGAAAGCCAGGGGAGCAAACGGG